This is a long non-coding RNA of Ipomoea triloba (trilobed morning glory), 559 nucleotides long. RefSeq lists it as uncharacterized. NCBI's taxonomy places the organism in Eukaryota, Viridiplantae, Streptophyta, Magnoliopsida, Solanales, Convolvulaceae. The transcript is spliced from 2 exons. The record is from RefSeq and is a predicted model, not a curated record.
GCAGGUUAGCAAAUACCAUUCUUUACGAUGGUUAUAAAUAUUGUCACAAAUAAAUUUAGGAAACAAAAUUCCAGAGAAAGCUUGCUCUCAUGAAGAGUGAUAAUUGGACGGAAGCAAGAGUCAAAAUAGUGAUGAGCAGACAUAUAUACGGAGUUGGAGUAUUUGUGACGGUUUCAUGACCGUCCGGGAAACGGCGGCGAACGUCAGAUCCAAUAUGAUCGGAGUUUAACGGCGCCGUUGCCGUCUUAUCAAAGGCAAGUUGUCAUGUUGGCUAUUUGGAGUUUGACAACUCAGGAACAGUGAUGAAGAUUCCUGUGUUUCUUGGUUAAGUUGUCAUUCUCAUUCGUAUUAUGAAUCUGUUCAAAGGUUGCAUUUCAAUAAUGUAAACUGCGGGCUUUCAGCAAUUACUUAUGUUGUUAUAAACACCUAUCAAUAUAUAGUUUGAACUUUCCAAAACUUGGGGCAACCCAACCAAGUUUAAUUUGUCCAGUUUGGCUUGAUAAUCACAAAAUUUCAAGUUCGGCUCUCAAUGAGAACGAUAUGAUAUUCUUAGUUUGAA